RNAcentral lists this ribosomal RNA (443 nucleotides) under uncultured bacterium. Its description in RNAcentral is "partial 16S ribosomal RNA". It matches the Rfam family "Bacterial small subunit ribosomal RNA", at positions 354 to 796 of the family's 1533-position model. The record is from RNAcentral.
GUGAGGAAUAUUGGUCAAUGGGCGCAAGCCUGAACCAGCCAUCCCGCGUGCAGGAAGACGGCCCUAUGGGUUGUAAACUGCUUUUCCGGGGGGAGAAUUUUUCCGUCGUGACGGGAAUUGACGGUACCCCGGGAAUAAGCAUCGGCUAACUCCGUGCCAGCAGCCGCGGUAAUACGGAGGAUGCGAGCGUUAUCCGGAUUUAUUGGGUUUAAAGGGUGCGUAGGCGGAAUGAUAAGUCAGUGGUGAAAACCUGCAGCUUAACUGUAGACUUGCCGUUGAUACUGUCAGUCUUGAGUGUGGUCAAGGUAGGCGGAAUGUGUAAUGUAGCGGUGAAAUGCUUAGAUAUUACACAGAACACCGAUUGCGAAGGCAGCUUACUGGGCCAUUACUGACGCUGAUGCACGAAAGCGUGGGGAUCGAACAGGAUUAGAAACCCUUAGUCC